Hippopotamus amphibius kiboko is the source of this 73-nucleotide non-coding RNA. NCBI's taxonomy places the organism in Eukaryota, Metazoa, Chordata, Mammalia, Artiodactyla, Hippopotamidae. The record is from the annotation of a RefSeq genome assembly.
UCCCUGCUGGUCCAGUGGUUAAGACUCUGCGCUCCUGAUGCAGAGGGCCUGGGUUCAAUCCCUGGUCAGGGAA